CACGUAGGGUGCGAGCGUUGUCCGGAAUUAUUGGGCGUAAAGAGCUCGUAGGCGGUUUGUCGCGUCUGCUGUGAAAACUGGGGGCUCAACCCCCAGCCUGCAGUGGGUACGGGCAGACUAGAGUGCGGUAGGGGAGAUUGGAAUUCCUGGUGUAGCGGUGGAAUGCGCAGAUAUCAGGAGGAACACCGAUGGCGAAGGCAGAUCUCUGGGCCGUAACUGACGCUGAGGAGCGAAAGCAUGGGGAGCGAACAGG
RNAcentral lists this ribosomal RNA (253 nucleotides) under uncultured bacterium. Its description in RNAcentral is "partial 16S ribosomal RNA". It matches the Rfam family "Bacterial small subunit ribosomal RNA", at positions 524 to 776 of the family's 1533-position model. The record is from RNAcentral.